AAAACCUAUAUAGAUCUAGUUAUUAUAAAAAAAAUAAAAUCAGGUAUAACAUUAAGUCAUAUCAGCCCAUUAGAGCUUAUGUUAGGCCCAGUAGGAAUUGCUAUGUCCACUAAGAGCAUCAUUACCGGUGAGUACUCUUAGAGUUACUCUCAUUAUUGGGCUCCAAUUUCCCAAUAAAAAACUCAUUUCCGAGUUCAAGAAGAGAGUAUCGUUUCUUUGGGAAGCAAUUGAAGAACCCUUUGAGUAACGCGACGUGGCAUGUUUUGGUUCGUUGUUGGGGAAAUGUAAAUUAAAAAAAAUUUUGCCAAUUUUUUUUUUUCUCUUCGCGAUUCUCUCUCUUUCUUCUUCCCGAUCUUCUCUCUUUUCUCUCUCGAAUCCUUUGAUUAUUCCAGCUUAAACUCGAUAUUUUGGGAGCUUCCAUUAAUUCGAUUAUCCGAUUCAGCAUUUGUGUUUUCGUUUCUGGCUGCUGCAGUUUGAUUUGAGAAAUAUGGUGGUCCUUCUGGCUUCGUGAUCUGGUCUAAUUACAAGCUGGUUUUGUGAAUUGUAAUAGCCAUUGUUUUGUUUUCAAGAGUCUGCGUGGCUACUCUGCAAGCCAUGGUUGCAGACUCUCUUAAACAAAUUUUACAACCACCGAUGUAACUCUCCUCUCAGAGAUUGAUCUUCAAGGAGUGAGUUGGCAUCAGGGGAAGCAUAUUCUUGCCUUUAUAUCCGGUGCAAAUCAAGUCACAAUUCGUGAUUAUGAGGACAAAGAAAUUAGUUACAUCGGAUAUUGGUUGAAGAAACAACUGUGACAGCUGAGGCUAGAGUAGUUGAUGGACUCCAGCUUGUGUUUUCAAACCCGUAUGAUCUGGUUUCAGAAAUCCUAAACCAUCCUGAAGCAUUCGGUUUUCAAAAUGUAAGGAGUGCAUGUUGCGGAACAGGAUACUACGAGAUGAGCUACUUGUGUGAUAAAAUGAACCCAUUCACAUGUUCUGAUGCGAGCAAAUAUGUAUUUUGGGACUCAUUUCACCCAACAGAGAAGACAGACGCAAUAGUGGCAAGCCAUAUUCUGAAGUACGACUUGUCUCGGUUUCAGUGAUAGAUAAGAAGGUAUUUCAACAUUUUUACUAACUACUCUCUAACCGAUUAUAAUCUGCUACAUUCAGUUCUAGGCUAGAUAUAGUAGACCUGUAGCUCAUGAGCCAUGGCUGGGUUUGUUUUACAUCAUCUGGUUUCUUGAUCAUGAGCCAUGGCUGGGUUUUUUUUAAGCUUGAUAUAGAUCUUAACUGUAAAAAUGUUGUGACUUGGCUCCUGCUGCAGCGGAACCAACCUCCCCUAAUAACAACAUUUUGCCAAAAAUAGAAGAGGGAAAGGAAAACUCUGUAUGCCAUUUUUCUAUUUUUCAGUUUAUUGAAAUUUAGCCUCUCUUUUUUUUUUGUCUUUGUUUUUGAUAAAUUAAUUUUUUUUUAAAGAAAAAGAGAAUGAAUCAGAAAUUUCUUGUUAAACAUAGUUUUGAAAAUUAUAUGAAACAAUAUCUUGAAUCAAUUGUAUCUUUGUGUACUUCCAUAAUAUCUUGAUACACAAAUGCAUGAUCUUUUGGAAAAAGACUUGAUUGAGCAUAUCUGGCAAAAAUUUGGUGCAACCGUACAAUAAAUCUUAUUCCAAAU
Camelina sativa (false flax) is the source of this 1646-nucleotide non-coding RNA. The record is from RefSeq and is a predicted model, not a curated record. NCBI's taxonomy places the organism in Eukaryota, Viridiplantae, Streptophyta, Magnoliopsida, Brassicales, Brassicaceae.